CCAAAAGAUAAUCUUUUUUAUUUUGAAAAAGAUCUUUUCCAUUGUGCUGGCUUUGACUGUAUUGUCAUUUUAGGGCUUAAACAUGGUGUUCAAUGCCUGCCCUAAAAACAUUAUACCAACCUUAUGAAAACUGACUGAACAAAGUAAAACAAUGAUAAUUUGUUUAAAAA
This 170-nucleotide unclassified non-coding RNA is filed under the name uncultured Umbelopsidaceae. RNAcentral's name for it is "sequence contains ITS1". The record is from RNAcentral. Lineage: Eukaryota; Fungi; Mucoromycota; Umbelopsidomycetes; Umbelopsidales; Umbelopsidaceae.